This 320-nucleotide ribosomal RNA is filed under the name uncultured eukaryote. RNAcentral describes it as "partial 18S ribosomal RNA". It matches the Rfam family "Eukaryotic small subunit ribosomal RNA", at positions 1470 to 1796 of the family's 1831-position model. The record is from RNAcentral.
CCCCUAGAUGUUCUGGGCCGCACGCGCGCUACACUGAACAGUUCAACAAGUCUUAACCUUGGCCGAUAGGUCUGGGUAAUCUUUGAACGCUGUUCGUGACUGGGAUAGACCUUUGCAAUUAUGGGUCUUCAACGAGGAAUUCCUAGUAAACGCAAGUCAUCAGCUUGCAUUGAUUACGUCCCUGCCCUUUGUACACACCGCCCGUCGCACCUACCGAUUGAAUGGUCCGGUGAAAUCUCGGGACGGCGGCUUGGUCGCUUGCGUCCGACUGCUGAAACUUGAUUAAACCAUAUCAUUUAGAGGAAUGUGAAGUCGUAACA